AAGGCUCAGUUGGUAGAGCAGGAGACUCUGACUCUCAGGGCCUGUGGGUUUGAGUCCCAUGUUCGGUG
Non-coding RNA from Podarcis lilfordi (Lilford's wall lizard), 68 nucleotides. The record is from the annotation of a GenBank genome assembly. Lineage: Eukaryota; Metazoa; Chordata; Lepidosauria; Squamata; Lacertidae.